GAAACAGAUAACGUACUAAAUGCCUUGGUUAAGUCUCACACUUGUUCAAGAAAAUUGACUAUUGAUAUGGGAUUAUUAGCUUAGUUGAGUUUUGGAGAUUGAAACAAUCAAGUUGUGGAGAAACUUGGUUUAUUGAUAUAUCGACUUGCAAUUAGUAAGAUUUACCUAAACUAAAGAAGCGAGGAGAGUAUAAAAAUUCAAUUUUAGGUCACACUCGAAAAGAGCGAAAAGAAUAAAUUUGGAGGUGUGUGAGUCUUAACGAGUGAUGAAAGCACAUAUUUGAUCAUUGAAGGUCAGGAAUUGAAACUACUUGUGAAUUCAUGAUGCUAUGCUUAAUUCUUCACACACACGUCAAUUUUACAUGGAAAAAGUAGAUUUUAAUUUGUAUAUUAUGAUUUUGAAGCAAUACAUAAAUUUGGCAGUAUGAUUUCAAUCCUGAAAUAAAAAGUCGG
This 452-nucleotide long non-coding RNA is filed under the name Olea europaea subsp. europaea. The record is from RNAcentral. Lineage: Eukaryota; Viridiplantae; Streptophyta; Magnoliopsida; Lamiales; Oleaceae.